RNAcentral lists this ribosomal RNA (1372 nucleotides) under uncultured bacterium. RNAcentral's name for it is "bacterial SSU rRNA". It matches the Rfam family "Bacterial small subunit ribosomal RNA", at positions 28 to 1381 of the family's 1533-position model. The record is from RNAcentral.
GAUGAACGCUGGCGGCGUGCCUAAUACAUGCAAGUCGAGCGAACGGACGAGAAGCUUGCUUCUCUGAUGUUAGCGGCGGACGGGUGAGUAACACGUGGAUAACCUACCUAUAAGACUGGGAUAACUUCGGGAAACCGGAGCUAAUACCGGAUAAUAUUUUGAACCGCAUGGUUCAAAAGUGAAAGACGGUCUUGCUGUCACUUAUAGAUGGAUCCGCGCUGCAUUAGCUAGUUGGUAAGGUAACGGCUUACCAAGGCAACGAUGCAUAGCCGACCUGAGAGGGUGAUCGGCCACACUGGGACUGAGACACGGUCCAGACUCCUACGGGAGGCAGCAGUAGGGAAUCUUCCGCAAUGGGCGAAAGCCUGACGGAGCAACGCCGCGUGAGUGAUGAAGGUCUUCGGAUCGUAAAACUCUGUUAUUAGGGAAGAACAUAUGUGUAAGUAACUGUGCACAUCUUGACGGUACCUAAUCAGAAAGCCACGGCUAACUACGUGCCAGCAGCCGCGGUAAUACGUAGGUGGCAAGCGUUAUCCGGAAUUAUUGGGCGUAAAGCGCGCGUAGGCGGUUUUUUAAGUCUGAUGUGAAAGCCCACGGCUCAACCGUGGAGGGUCAUUGGAAACUGGAAAACUUGAGUGCAGAAGAGGAAAGUGGAAUUCCAUGUGUAGCGGUGAAAUGCGCAGAGAUAUGGAGGAACACCAGUGGCGAAGGCGACUUUCUGGUCUGUAACUGACGCUGAUGUGCGAAAGCGUGGGGAUCAAACAGGAUUAGAUACCCUGGUAGUCCACGCCGUAAACGAUGAGUGCUAAGUGUUAGGGGGUUUCCGCCCCUUAGUGCUGCAGCUAACGCAUUAAGCACUCCGCCUGGGGAGUACGACCGCAAGGUUGAAACUCAAAGGAAUUGACGGGGACCCGCACAAGCGGUGGAGCAUGUGGUUUAAUUCGAAGCAACGCGAAGAACCUUACCAAAUCUUGACAUCCUUUGACAACCCUAGAGAUAGAGCUUUCCCCUUCGGGGGACAAAGUGACAGGUGGUGCAUGGUUGUCGUCAGCUCGUGUCGUGAGAUGUUGGGUUAAGUCCCGCAACGAGCGCAACCCUUAAGCUUAGUUGCCAUCAUUAAGUUGGGCACUCUAAGUUGACUGCCGGUGACAAACCGGAGGAAGGUGGGGAUGACGUCAAAUCAUCAUGCCCCUUAUGAUUUGGGCUACACACGUGCUACAAUGGACAAUACAAAGGGCAGCGAAACCGUGAGGUCAAGCAAAUCCCAUAAAGUUGUUCUCAGUUCGGAUUGUAGUCUGCAACUCGACUACAUGAAGCUGGAAUCGCUAGUAAUCGUAGAUCAGCAUGCUACGGUGAAUACGUUCCCGGGUCU